GAUGAAGAACGCAGCGAAAUGCGAUAAGUAAUGUGAAUUGCAGAAUUCAGUGAAUCAUCGAAUCUUUGAACGCACAUUGCGCCCGCCAGCACUCUGGCGGGCGUGCCUGUUCGAGCGUCAUUUCAACCAUCAAGCCCCUAGGGGCUUGUGCUGGGGCCCUGCGGCUGCCCGCAGGCCCUGAAAACCAGUGGCGGGCUCGCUAGUCACACCGAGCGCAGUAGCACAUCUCGCUCAGGGCGUGCGGCGGGCUCCUGCCGUGAAACCCCCCCCUGUAACCCCAAAGGUUGACCUCGGAUCAGGUAGGAAUACCCGCUGAACUUAAGCAUAUCAAUAAGCGGAGGA
This 342-nucleotide unclassified non-coding RNA is filed under the name soil metagenome. RNAcentral describes it as "partial contains 5.8S ribosomal RNA, internal transcribed spacer 2, and large subunit ribosomal RNA". The stretch from base 1 to 120 matches the Rfam family "5.8S ribosomal RNA", at positions 35 to 154 of the family's 154-position model. The record is from RNAcentral.